GACGAACGCUGGCGGCGUGCUUAACACAUGCAAGUCGAGCGGUAAGGCCCUUUCGGGGGUACGACGAGCGGCGAACGGGUAGGAGUAACAACGUGGGUGGACCUCGCCCUUACGUCUCUGGGAGUAAAGACCUCGGGAAACGUAGGGUCGUAAUACCGGAUAUGACUCCAUGACGCAUGUUGUGGGGUGGGAAAGCCUUGUGCGGCUAGGGAGUGGGCCCGGCCGGCCUAUCAGCUUGUU
RNAcentral lists this ribosomal RNA (240 nucleotides) under uncultured bacterium. Its description in RNAcentral is "partial 16S ribosomal RNA". It matches the Rfam family "Bacterial small subunit ribosomal RNA", at positions 28 to 250 of the family's 1533-position model. The record is from RNAcentral.